Molecule: RNA transcript, 11735 nt
Organism: Nematostella vectensis (starlet sea anemone)
Lineage: Eukaryota; Metazoa; Cnidaria; Anthozoa; Actiniaria; Edwardsiidae
Exons: 18
Source: RefSeq, a predicted model, not a curated record
AUGUUCUGACUGUAGUAAAUAAUAAGCUUAUUGAUGCAUUAAAUUCCUCCGUUCCUCGUGAAUUCAAAUAAAACAAGACUGCAGCCAUAUUUUAAAUGGGGACUGGUUCGUCCAAAAAGCUUAAACACGAUCUCAAUGUCAGCGGUGUGAGGGAAGUUCAGCUAAAAUCACAGGCUUCCCUCGAUCAUAGGAUCCAAAGUAAACAACGAACGAAUGCGUCAAACUUGCAAACGUGUGACUCUCCUACUAAACUCCCGCCGAAAAUCAUGGAGAAUCCAGUCAGUGCACCACAGGGUAAUAUAGAAAAACACUUCUCUGAGGUGCACCAAAGUAUUGAACAGCUAAAGCGGUGCUUACAGGGACCACAAGGGCUUGGAAGCAAAGAGGCUGUUUCAGCGGCCACACAGUUGGUUGCUUCCUCUUGUGAGCUAGAAGCAGAGGAAAAGAAAGUUUCUGAUUUUCUCAUUUCAGAGGGAUUGGCUUUGGUUCUUCUAGAAAUAUUUACUGCCUUUAAUAAUGUAUUUCCCAAAGGGUGUUCCGUUGAUCGCGAAAAAGGAACCACUGGUGACUCAGAGAGUGUCCAUCUCGCGCAAGAUGUUGUAAACUUGCUUGCGGGCGCGACUGUGAAUUUCACAGAUCUUAAUGAUUUCGCCGAAGAAUGUGGGAAACAAGGACUUAUACCAAUAUUCAUUGGUAUGAUUGAUCCUCUGAAGGAUUCUAUCCCAGAUGUUAAACAAUAUGAGGAUCCUGAAACCAAAACAAUCUCGCAAUUCACAGUCCGUGCAAGGCUGCUCUCUAGGAUAAUUGGAGCUUUGGCAAACCUUGCAAAGCCAGCAGUAAACAAAAGGCAUUUUAACAAAUGCAAUGCUGUUGCUACACUUGUACCAUUGAUGAAGUCUCCUGUUUAUGCUUAUGUAAUCAAGACUUUGUUCUGUAUUGUUUUUCUUCUUGAUGAAGAUAACAAUGAACUUUGUAUGGCAGGAUCAGAACCCAUUAAACAUAUUCUUUCAAUGCUUGACAAGGCCUUAAUAUCAGAAUCACGUCAAUACCUUGGCUGGACAACCUCUGAAAUAGCUCUCCUUCUGUCAAAAAUGGCUGCAAACACACAAAACAGUAUCCAGAUCUGUCAGUAUGGUGGAAUCGAAAUGUUGGUCAAGAUGCUUCAGAGCUCUGACAGCAGCCAGGAGAAGUCAUCUGCAACCAAAGUGCUGUGGAUGUUGUCAUUUGAGGCCACCAACAGAGAACUGAUGUCAUCAAAUGCUCAAGCCAUGAACCUUCUCAACAGCCUUCAAACAAGUGAUAACAAGGAAGUAUCCCAAAACUCAAAAGGAGUGUUGUGGGAAUUGAGAAGACACAAAAAUCAAAUCAGAGCCCUAUCAGAUAAGCAAUCAACACUAAGUGAAAUCUGUGAUGAAGAAGAUAUUGAGGAUGAAGUAAUGUCCAAUAUAUCUGCCCCAAAAAUGCGAAAAGCCAAGAAAAAGUCCUCAGCCAUUGAAAGAAGCAGUUUUGAUAUUGAUCCAGCACCACAAUCAAUCUUCGCAGUAUCAAGGCAAUCUGCCCCUCCCCCGAAGCCCGUAGCAAGGGCAAGUGCACCUCCGGCUCCACCCCUCCCAGGGGGGAGUGCACCCCCACCCCCACCUCCUCCCGGGGGGAGUGUACCACCACCCCCGCCCCUUCCAGGGGGGACAUGCUCCAGUGGGCCACCCCCUCCUCCGCCACCACCUACCUCAAUAGGACCCAAACCAUCUGGACAUCACGUGAUGUUAAGUUACCAAUGGGGUUACCAGGAUGUAGUGUUGAAGGUCCGUGAUGAAUUGCGUGCGGCAGGCUACAAGGUGUGGAUCGAUGUUGAGCAGAUGGAAGGGUCCACUCUAGAAGCCAUGGCCAGCGCCGUUGAAAAUGCUGCUGCGGUACUGAUGUGUGUUUCCCGCGCUUACAAGGAAAGCCCUAACUGCAGAUCAGAGGCCGAGUACAGCUUUCAGCUACGCAAAGACAUCAUUCCUCUGAUGAUGGAGCCACAGUACAAACCAGACGGCUGGUUGGGAAUCAUUGUGGGCGCCAAGCUUUGGAUGGACUUCAGAAGUAAAGACGUCACAUCUUCCGCCGUUCAGGGACUUAUCAAAGAGCUUGGUCAGCGAGGGAGGCCAGCGAAAAAAGGUACGCCUGUUAUUCGGGAUGAACUAAAGGAAACUCUGCUUCGUUACAAGAAGAACCAUCGCAAAUCAUAUGUGUACAUCUCCGAGUGCGAGAAGAUCAUCCGUUCACUGAGAUCCUCUCUAGCUGACAAUGAUAUCGCAGCCUCAGCUGUGUAUUGGCGCGCGGACGAGCUUAGUGGAUUCUACAGGAAGUUAGACGAAACUAAUGAAGACUACCAGAUUGUUAUUCAGUUCCUUUUGGAUGUUGAUGCCCCUAAAUUACUGGUGGAUUACAUCAGGAUUCUGAAGCAGACUUUUCCAGAUGCAAGCACGUACGAUAGGGAGAAACCAGGAGGAAAAGAUGUGGAGGCGCAGGUGAAGUGGGCCCAGGAUGUCUUAUUCUCUGUCUCGUGUUCCAUUCUUAAUUUCACCGACAAGAGUGACGACUUCUGUCUAGCAUGCGCAGAGACCGGGGCAGUGCCAAUACUGUUCGAGUUGGCUUUGCAGCUCCGCACCGCAGCAAACGACACUAAAGACAGUACGGAUUUCUCCCGUCGUGGUGAGAUUCUCUCCCAUGUUCUUGGCGCUCUUCAUAACUUGUCCCGCCGACCCGCAGUCAAGAGAUUUUUCGAGGAGAGUAACGGUGUCAAGCAUCUGUUGUUGUUCAUGAAGUGUGGGGUCACGUACUUUGUAAUGAACGCAUUGCUAUGUUUAGCCUACCUUGUGGACGAACGGAACAAUGAUCUCAUCAUGGCCGACGAAGAGCCAAUCACGUUUCUGCUGCGCAUGUUGUCUUCUGCUAUCAGCGACAGUCGCCGGCAACAUCUGGGAUUUGCAGCCUGGGAAAUCGCGUGUGGGAUUGGUCGAGUGGCCAGCAAUGACAAGAACAAGAGACUGAUAGGAAGACACGAUGGAGUAUCCAUAUUAUCAACGCUAGUAAAAGAGGCCAAAAAUGAUGCUGAGCGAGUUUACGGACUGCAGGCCCUGUACAUGCUGUCUUUUGAUGGAGAAAAUAAGAAAAUACUUUGUAAAGACAAAGCCACCGUGAACUUACUUCGCAACCUAAAACAGAGUGGACACAAGGAGGUGCAAAAAGCUGCUGUUGGGAUUCUUUGGGAGAUCGAAGGAAAAGUUGGGCGGGACAGAAACGAAGAUUCCCAACAGCACAUCAUGAUAAGCUACCAGUGGGACAACCAGAAGGCCAUGUUGGCCGUUAACAAACGUCUCAAAGAAGCUGGCCACAAAGUGUGGAUGGACGUGGAGCAAAUGGGGGGAUCUACGCUUGAGGCAAUGGCGAGGGCGGUAGAAAAUGCGUCAGUUAUCCUCAUCGCUAUGUCUCAGAGAUACCAGGACAGUCCAAACUGCAGAUCGGAGGCGGAGUAUGCCUUUCAGCGCCGUAAAAAGAUCGUCCCCCUCAUGAUGGAGCAAGACUACCGUCCAGAUGGCUGGCUUGGAAUGAUCUUGGGUGCCAAGUUAUGGAUGGAUUUCAGAGAGAGUGUGGAUACUGGUAUUGUCCAUCUGAUGAAGGAGUUACAAUACAAUCAAACAGCAGCACUGCAACAGCCACAUGACCCUGUUACGGUAGAUACAACUACAGUGAUCAGUUCGCCUCCUGAUAAAGAGGACGGACCACCUGGGCCGACAGAUGUAGUAGAUCGGCCGGACGUAUCAAAGUGGAAGAAAGAGGAUGUUGCCAAGUGGCUAAGUGACAUUGGUUUAAGUUCUUCGAACAAAGUUCGCAAGAAGUUGGAUGGUUCUAUGCUAAUCUUGCUCUACAGACUGAAACAAGAGAGCCCCGAGUUUUACUACGCGUCAGUCAAGAAGGACAUGGAUUUUCCGACUGUUAUUGAGGAGAAAAUGCAUUGAAAGGACCUUUUGAGCCCUCUCCUGUUAAAACCCUGGCUAUGCCGCUGAUUCUGGGUGGCUGAUGAGGUGACAUGUGAUUCUGGAUGGAUUAUGGAGUGAUAUGAGAUGGUGAAUGUCUGAUUACGUGAAACGGGAUGCUGAUUGACUGCUGACGUGACAUCGGAUGCUGGAUGACUCAGGAGGUAAAAUAACAUUAAAUGAUGCUGGGUGACUGAUAAAGUAACAUGGAAUGCUGGGUGACUGAUGAGGUAACAUAAGAUCCUAGACGACUGAUAGGUUGUCUGGGAAUGCGUGAAUGACUGAUGAGGUGACAUAGAAUGCUCGGUGACUGAUGAGGUGAGAUAAUAUGCUGGAUGACUGAUGGCCAUGAGAAGAACCUAAUAUGCUGACAAAAUGACAUUUAGGUGCUGGAAGACUGAUGAGGUCAAAUGAGGUUUUGAAUGACUGAUGAGGUAACAUUGGAUCCUGAAUUAGUGACGAGGUGUUAUGGUGGGUUGGAUGACUGACGAGGUGACGUGGGAUGCUGGAUGAUUGAUGAGUUGACAUAAGAUGCUAGAUGACUAAUAUGUUGACUGGGGAUGUGUGGAUGACUAAUGAGAUUUCAUGGGAGUGACAUAGGUCGCUAGAUGAUUGAUGAUGUAACAGAUGAGGUUUCAUAAGAUGCUGGGUGACUGAUAAGGUGACAUAAGAUCCUAGAUAACUUAUAGGGUGUCUGGGAACGCGUGGAUGACUGAUGAGGUGACAUAGAAUGCGUGGAUAACUGAUGAGGCAACAUAGAAUGCGUGGAUAACUGAUGAGGUCACAUCGAAUGCGUGGAUAACUGAUGAGGUGACAGAAUGCGUGGAUAACUGAUUAGGUGACAAAGAAUGCUCGGUGACUGAUGAUAGGUGACAUAAGAUGCUGGAUGACGGAUAGGGUGGCAUGGGAUGCCUGAUGACUCAUAGUGUGACGGGAUGUGUAGAUGACUUAUGAGGUGUCAGGGGAUGCUGGAUGAUUGAUGAGAUAACAUAAGGUGUUGGUUAACUGAUGAGGUGACAUGAGAUGCUGGAUGACUGAUGAGUUGACAUGAGGUGCUGAAUGACUGAUGAGGUGACAUGGGGUGCUGAAUGACUGAUGAGGUGACAUGGGGUGCUGAAUGCCUGAUAAGGUGACAUUCGAUCCUGAAUUAGUGAUGAGAUGACAUGAGAUGCUGAAUGACUGAUGAGUUGACAUAAGAAGCUGAAUGACUGAUGAGGUGCUGAAUGCCUGAUGAGUUGACAUGGGGUGCUAAAUGACUGAUGAGGUGACAGGAGAUGCUGGAUGGCUAAUGAGGUCACAUUGGAUCCUGAAUUAGUGAUGAUGUGACAUGAGAUGCUGAAUGACUGAUGAAGUGACAUGAGGUGCUGAAUGCCUGAUGAGGUGACAUUCGAUUCUGAAUUAGUGAUGAGGUGACAUGAGAUGCUGGAAGACUGAUGAGUUGACAUAAGAUGUUGGAUGACUGAUGACAUUAGAUGCCGAAUGAUUGAUGUGGUCACAUGAGAUGCUGAAUGACUGAUGAGAUAAAAAAGGAUGCUGCAUGACUAAUGAGGUGACAUGAGGUACUGAAUGGCUGAUGAGGUGACAUUGGAUCCUGAAUUAGUGAUGAGGUGACAUGAGAUGCUGAAUAACUGAUGAGGUGAAAAAGAUACCGAAUGAUUGAUGAGGUCACAUGAGAUGCUGAAUGACUGAUGAGGUGACAAGAGAUGCCGAAUGACUGAUGAGUUGACAUAAGAUGCUGAAUGACUGAUGAGGUCACAUAAAGUGCUGAAUGCCUGAUGAGGUGACAUUCGAUCCUAAAUUAGUGAUGAGGUGACAUGAGAUGCUGGAAGACUGAUAACUUGACAUAAGAUGCUAGAUGACUGAUGAGUUGACAUUAGAUGCGGAAUGAUUGAUGAGGUCACAUGAGGUGCUGAAUGACUGAUGAGGUGACAUGGUCUGCUGAAUUACAGAUGAGGUGACAUGAGAUGCUGGAUGACUAAUGAGUUGACAUAAGAAGCUGAAUGACUGAUGAGGUGACAUAAGAUGCUGGAUGACUGAUGAUGUGACAUGAGGUGCUGAAUGACCGAUGAGGUGACAUUCGAUCCUGAAUUAGUGAUGUGGUGACAUGAGAUGCUGGAUGACUGAUGAGUUGACAUAAGAUGCUGAAUGACUGAUGAGGUGCUGGAUGUAAUGACUGAUGAGGUCACAUGAGGUGCUUAAUGCCUGAAAAGGUGACAUUCGAUCCUAAAUUAGUGAUGAGGUGACAUGGUCUGCUGAAUGACUGAUGAGGUGACAUAAGAUGCUAGAUGACUGAUGAGUUGACAUUAGAUGCGGAAUGACUGAUGGGGUCACAUGAGGUGCUGGAUGACUGAUGAGGUAACAUGAGAUGCUGGAUGACUAAUGAGUUGACAUAAGAAGCUUAAUGACUGAUAAGGUGACAUAAGAUGCUGUAUGACUGAUGAUGUGACAUGAGGUGCUGAAUGACUGAUGAGGUGACAUUCGAUCCUGAAUUAGUGAUGAGGUGACAUGAGGUGCUGGAUGUAAUGACUGAUGAGGUCAGAUGAGGUGCUGAAUGCCUGAUAAGGUGACAUCCGAUCCUAAAUUAGUGAUGAGGUGACAUGAGAUGCUGGAAGACUGAUGAGUUGACAUAAGAUGCCGAAUGAUUGAUGAGGUCACAUGAGGUGCUGAAUGAAUGAUGAGGUGACAUGGUCUGCUGAAUGACUGAUGAGGUGACAUAAAAUGCUAGAUGCAUGAUGAGUUGACAUUAGAUGCGGAAUGAUUGAUGGGGUCACAUGAGGUGCUGGAUGACUGAUGAGGUGACAUGGUCUGCUGAAUUACAGAUGAGGUAACAUAAGAUGCUGGAUGACUGAUGAUUUGUCAUGAGGUGCUGAUUAACUGAUGAGGUGACAUUCGAUCCUGAAUUAAUGAUGAGGUGACAUGAGAUGUUGGAUGACUGAUGAGGUGACAUAAGAUGCUGGAUGACUGAUGAUGUGACAUGAGUUUCUGAAUGACUGAUGAGGUGACAUUCGAUCCUGAAUUAGUGAUGAGGUGACAUGAGAUGCUGGAUGACUGAUGAGUUGACAUAAGAUGCUAAAUGACUGAUGAGGUGACAUAAGAUGCUGGAUGACUGAUGAGUUGACAUAGGAUGCUGAAUGACUGAUGAGGUCACAUAAAGUGCUUAAAGCAUGAUGAGGUGACAUUCGAUCCUAAAUUAGUGAUGAGGUGACAUGAGAUGCUGGAAGACUGAUAACUUUACAUAAGAUGACUGAUGAGUUGACAUUAGAUGCGGAAUGAUUGAUGAGGUCACAUGAGGUGCUGAAUGACUGAUGAGGUGACAUGGUCUGCUAAAUUACAGAUGAGGUGACAUGAGAUACUGGAUGACUAAUGAGUUGACAUAAGAAGCUGAAUGACUGAUGAGGUGACAUAAGAUGCUGGAUGACUGAUGAUGUGACAUGAGGUGCUGAAUGACUGAUGAGGUGACAUUCGAUCCUGAAUGAGUGAUGUGGUGACAUGAGAUGCUGGAUGACUGAUGAGUUGACGUAAGAUGCUGAAUGACUGAUGAGGUGACAUGAGGUGCUGGAUGUAAUGACUGAUGAGUUGACAUAAGAUGCCGAAUGAUUGAUGAGGUCACAUGAGAUGCUGGAUGACUGAUGAGGUGACAUAAGAUGCUGAAUGACUGAUGAUGUGACAUUCGAUCCUGAAUUUAUAAUGAGGUGACAUGAGAUGUUGGAUGACGGAUGAGGUGACAUAAGAUGCUGGAUGACUGAUGAUUUGUCAUGAGGUGCUGAAUGACUGAUGAGGUGACAUUCGAUCCUGAAUUAAUGAUGAAGUGACAUGAGAUGUUGGAUGACUGAUGAGGUGACAUAAGAUGCUGUAUGACUGAUGAUGUGACAUGAGGUGCUGAAUGACUGAUGAGGUGACAUUCGAUCCUGAAUUAGUGAUGAGGUGACAUGAGGUGCUGGAUGUAAUGACUGAUGAGGUCAGAUAAGGUGCUGAAUGCCUGAUAAGGUGACAUCCGAUCCUAAAUUAGUGAUGAGGUGACAUGAGAUGCUGGAAGACUGAUGAGUUGACAUAAGAUGCCGAAUGAUUGAUGAGGUCACAUGAGGUGCUGAAUGAAUGAUGAGGUGACAUGGUCUGCUGAAUGACUGAUGAGGUGACAUAAGAUGCUAGAUGCAUGAUGAGUUGACAUUAGAUGCGGAAUGAUUGAUGGGGUCACAUGAGGUGCUGGAUGACUGAUGAGGUGACAUGGUCUGCUGAAUUACAGAUGAGGUAACAUAAGAUGCUGGAUGACUGAUGAUUUGUCAUGAGGUGCUGAUUGACUGAUGAGGUGACAUUCGAUCCUGAAUUAAUGAUGAGGUGACAUGAGAUGUUGGAUGACUGAUGAGGUGACAUGAGUUUCUGAAUGACUGAUGAGGUGACAUUCGAUCCUGAAUAAGUGAUGAGGUGACAUGAGAUGCUGGAUGACUGAUGAGUUGACAUAAGAUGCUGAAUGACUGAUGAGGUGACAUAAGAUGCUGGAUGACUGAUGAGUUGACAUAGGAUGCUGAAUGACUGAUGAGGUCACAUAAAGUGCUGAAAGCAUGAUGAGGUGACAUUCGAUCCUAAAUUAGUGAUGAGGUGACAUGAGAUGCUGGAAGACUGAUAACUUUACAUAAGAUGCUAGAUGACUGAUGAGUUGACAUUCGAUCCUAAAUUAUUGAUGAGGUGAAAUAAGAUGCUAGAAGACUGAUGAGUUGACAUAAGAUGCUAUAUGACUGAUGAGUUGACAUUAAAUGCGGAAUGAUUGAUGAGGUCACAUGAGAUGCUGGAUGACUGAUGAGGUGACAUGGGGUGCUGAAUGACUGAUGAGGUGACAUGGGGUGCUGGAUGACUGAUGAGGUGACAUUACAUUCUGAAUUAGUGAUGAGGUGACAUGAGAUGCUGGAUGACUGAUGAGGUGACAUAAGAUGCUGAAUGACUGAUUGGUGACAUGAGGUGCUGGAUGUAAUGACUGAUGAGGUGACAUGAGAUGCUGUAAGACUGAUGAGUUGACAUAAGAUGCCGAAUGAUUGAUGAGGUCACAUGAGGUGCUGAAUGACUGAUGAGGUGAUAUGGUCUGCUGAAUGACUGAUGAGGUGAUAUGAGAUGCUGGAUGACUGAUGAGGUGACAUAAGAUGCUGAAUGACUGAUGAUGCGACAUUCGAUCCUGAAUUAAUAAUGAGGUGACAUGAGAUGUUGGAUGACUUAUGAGGUGACAUAAGAUGCUGGAUGACUGAUGUUUUGUCAUGAGGUGCUGAAUGACUGAUGAGGUGACAUUCGAUCCUGAAUUAAUGAUGAGGUGACAUGAGAUGUUGGAUGACUGAUGAAGUGACAUAAGAUGCUGGAUGACUGAUGAUGUGACAUGAGGUGCUGAAUGACUGAUGAGGUGACAUUCGAUCCUGAAUUAGUGAUGAGGUGACAUGAGAUGCUGGAUGACUGAUGAGUUGACAUAAGAUGCUGAAUGACUGAUGAGGUGACAUAAGAUGCUGGAUGACUGAUGAGUUGACUUAUGAUGCUGAAUGACUGAUGAGAUCACAUGAGGUGCUGAAUGCCUGAUGAGGUGACAUUCGAUCCUAAAUUAUUGAUGAGGUGACAUAAGAUGCUGGAAGACUGAUGAGUUGACAUAAGAUGCUAGAUAACUGAUGAGUUGACAUUAGAUGCGGAAUGAUUGAUGAGGUCACAUGAGAUGCUGGAUGACUGAUGAGGUGACAUGGGGUGCUGAAUGACUGAUGAGGUGACAUGGGGUGCUGGAUGACUGAUGAGGUGACAUUACAUUCUGAAUUAGUGAUGAGGUGACAUGAGAUGCUGGAUGACUGAUGAAGUGACAUAAGAUGCUGAAUGACUGAUUGGUGACAUGAGGUGCUGGAUGUAAUGACUGAUGAGGUGACAUGAGAUGCUGUAAGACUGAUGAGUUGACAUAAGAUGCCGAAUGAUUGAUGAGGCCACAUGAGGUGCUGAAUGACUGAUGAGGUGAUAUGGUCUGCUGAAUGACUGAUGAGGUGAUAUGAGAUGCUGGAUGACUGAUGAGGUGACAUAAGAUGCUGUAUGACUGAUGAUGUGACAUUCGAUCCUGAAUUAAUAAUUAGGUGACAUGAGAUGUUGGAUGACUUAUGAGGUGACAUAAGAUGCUGGAUGACUGAUGUUUUGUCAUGAGGUGCUGAAUGACUGAUGAGGUGACAUUCGAUCCUGAAUUAAUGAUGAGGUGACAUAAGAUGCUGGAUGACUGAUGAUGUGACAUGAGGUGCUGAAUGACUGAUGAGGUGACAUUCGAUCCUGAAUUAGUGAUGAGGUGACAUGAGAUGCUGGAUGACUGAUGAGUUGACAUAAGAUGCUGAAUGACUGAUGAGGUGACAUAAGAUGCUGGAUGACUGAUGAGUUGACUUAUGAUGCUGAAUGACUGAUGAGAUCACAUGAGGUGCUGAAUGCCUGAUGAGGUGACAUUCGAUCUUAAAUUAUUGAUGAGGUGACAUAAGAUGCUGGAAGACUGAUGAGUUGACAUAAGAUGCUAGAUAACUGAUGAGUUGACAUUAGAUGCGGAAUGAUUGAUGAGGUCACAUGAGAUGCUGGAUGACUGAUGAGGUGACAUGGGGUGCUGAAUGACUGAUGAGGUGACAUGGGGUGCUGGAUGACUGAUGAGGUGACAUUACAUUCUGAAUUAGUGAUGAGGUGACAUGAGAUGCUGGAUGACUGAUGAGGUGACAUAAGAUGCUGAAUGACUGAUUGGUGACAUGAGGUGCUGGAUGUAAUGACUGAUGAGGUGACAUGAGAUGCUGUAAGACUGAUGAGUUGACAUAAGAUGCCGAAUGAUUGAUGAGGUCACAUGAGGUGCUGAAUGACUGAUGAGGUGAUAUGGUCUACUGAAUGACUGAUAAGGUGACAUGAGAUGCUGGAUGACUGAUGAGGUGACAUAAGAUGCUGAAUGACUGAUGAUGUGACAUUCGAUCCUGAAGUAAUAAUGAGGUGACAUGAGAUGUUGGAUGACUGAUGAGGUGACAUAAGAUGCUGGAUGACUGAUGUUUUGUCAUGAGGUGCUGAAUGACUGAUGAGGUGACAUUCGAUCCUGAAUUAAUGAUGAGGUGACAUGAGAUGUUGGAUGACUGAUGAGGUGACAUAAGAUGCUGAAUGACUGAUGAGGUGACAUAAGAUGCUGGAUGACUGAUGAUGUGACAUGAGGUGCUGAAUGACUGAUGAGGUGACAUUCGAUCCUGAAUUAGUGGUGAGGUGACAUGAGAUGCUGGAUGACUGAUGAGUUGACAUAAGAUGCUGAAUGACUGAUGAGGUGACAUAAGAUGCUUGAUGACUGAUGAGUUGACAUAGGAUGCUGAAUGACUGAUGAGAUCACAUGAGGUGCUGAAUGCCUGAUGAGGUGACAGUCGAUCCUAAAUUAUUGAUGAGGUGACAUAAGAUGCUAGAAGACUGAUAAGUUGACAUAAGAUGCUAGAUGACUGAUGAGUUGACAUUAGAUGCGGAAUGAUUGAUGAGGUCACAUGAGAUGCUGGAUGACUGAUGAGGUGACAUGGGGUGCUGAAUGACUGAUGAGGUGACAUUACAUUCUGAUUUAGUGAUGAGGUGACAUGAGAUGCUGGAUGACUGAUGAGGUGACAUAGGGUGCUCUAUGACUGAUAAGGUGACAUAAGGUGCUGAAUGACGGAUGAGGUGACCUUGGAUCCUGAACUAGGGAUGAGGUGCUAUGGUGUGUUGAUCACAAAUGAGUUGACA